AUGAUGCAAAAGCAAUAUCAAAUGUCUAUGAUGGGAGAGCUGAAGUUCUUUCUCGGUCUUCAAAUACGACAGCAACGCAAGGACAUCUUCAUAUCUCAAGAGAAGUAUCUCAAAGAUUGCCUGAAGAAGUUCGGUAUGCAAGAUUGCAAAGGCUUCACGACGCCAAUGCCAGCCAAGCAUCAUCUGGGUCGUGACGACAAUGGUAAAGAGUUCGAUCAAAAGGUAUACCGCUCCAUGAUUGGUUCUUUACUUUAUCUAUGUGCAUCUAGGCCAGAUAUUAUGCUUAGUGUUUGCAUGUGUGCUCGAUUUCAAGUAGCACCAAAGGAGUCGCAUCACUUAGCUGUGAAGCGAAUUCUUCGAUAUUUGGCUCACACCCCAACUCUAGGAGUAUGGUAUCCAAAGGGCUCAGAGUUUGAUCUGGUUGAAUUCUCGGAUGCUGAUUAUGCUGGUGACAAAGUUGAUCGCAAGUCUACAUCAGGCACAUGUCACUUUCUGGGACGAUCACUUGUAUGUUGGUCUUCAAAGAAGUAG
RNAcentral lists this ribosomal RNA (531 nucleotides) under Triticum aestivum (bread wheat). RNAcentral describes it as "partial small subunit ribosomal RNA". Lineage: Eukaryota; Viridiplantae; Streptophyta; Magnoliopsida; Poales; Poaceae. The record is from RNAcentral.